GCUCUGUGCUGACAGCUCAGAGCCUGGAGCCUGCUUCGGAUUCUGUGUCUCCCUCUCUUCUCCUCCCCCCCACCCCCAAAUAAAAAAAACAUAAAAAAAAACACCAAACACUUCUCCGAGGUUCAGUCUCUCCUUCUAUAUAGAGGGGAUGAUGAUGAAAUAGGACCUAUUUCAGGAUUGGUAAGAGGGUUCAGUUAAUUAGUACAUGUAAGAAAUGAUAAAGUUAUGCAUACAGCAUAUGAGCAACAAAUAUUAGCUAUUACUAAUUAUUUUAGUUGAGCGUCAACUAUGUAGCAGGUACUUGACAUACACAAUCUAAUUUAAUCCUCACGGCAACAUCACAGGGUUUUAUUUCUUUGGGGAGAUGAGGAUUCUGAGGUUCACAGAGGUUAAGCAAUUUACUCAAGGUCGCAUAGCUGUUAACUGUGGGGGAGGGGCAGGUUGGAAUUGAGAAUCCCCUCCUGCCUGAUUCUAGAGCCUGUGCCUUGUCACCUCACAAACAGGCCAUGACUCUACUUGUUAUCAAAACUUCCCAGUCUGUCGUGAAAUUGGCUAUGUUAUUCCUUUAGAACACAGUUGGAGAGAAAAGAACUCUCCACGGGGUCCUUGUCAAAGCACGGAAAAUAAAACUCUCCGACUCCUCUUUCCUACUUCACCAUCCUAAACGCCUAAACCCAAACUAGGAACCGCGGGCACUGCCUUCUCUCCCGGACUCCUCUGUCGCUGCGGAGCCCCUUCUCCUCCCAGCCGCGUUUGGGUCCAGUGUCCGACUCGGAAGGCUUUCUUCCCUGUCUGCCGCUCCUCCCCGCCUUUCUUUCCCCGCUGCCACCUCUGGAGGAACCUGCGCGACGCCGGGUGCCAGGUACCGAGUGCCGAGUGCCGAGUGCCGGGUCUCCGGAGGGCCCUGCGUGCAGGUGCGCGAGGUCCGUGCGGCUGCCCUGCGAGUGCGUCGGGAGAACUGCGCUUGCAGGUGUACGACAGUAAACUAAAUAAUUAGCAGAAGUCAAUAAAUGGACACCCAGUUCAGCCA
This 1030-nucleotide long non-coding RNA is filed under the name Felis catus (domestic cat). RNAcentral's name for it is "lncRNA (ENSFCAG00000044410.2)". Lineage: Eukaryota; Metazoa; Chordata; Mammalia; Carnivora; Felidae. The record is from RNAcentral.